AGAGUUUGAUCCUGGCUCAGGAUGAACGCUAGCGGCAGGCUUAACACAUGCAAGUCGAGGGGUAUAAGUCUUCGGAUUUAGAGACCGGCGCACGGGUGCGUAACGCGUAUGCAAUCUACCUUUCACAGAGGGAUAGCCCAGAGAAAUUUGGAUUAAUACCUCAUAGUAUAGCUGAACCGCAUGGUUCUACUAUUAAAGUCACAACGGUGAAAGAUGAGCAUGCGUCCCAUUAGCUAGUUGGUAAGGUAACGGCUUACCAAGGCUACGAUGGGUAGGGGUCCUGAGAGGGAGAUCCCCCACACUGGUACUGAGACACGGACCAGACUCCUACGGGAGGCAGCAGUGAGGAAUAUUGGUCAAUGGACGCAAGUCUGAACCAGCCAUGCCGCGUGCAGGAUGACGGUCCUAUGGAUUGUAAACUGCUUUUGCACAGGAAGAAACAACUCUACGUGUAGAGUCUUGACGGUACUGUGAGAAUAAGGAUCGGCUAACUCCGUGCCAGCAGCCGCGGUAAUACGGAGGAUCCAAGCGUUAUCCGGAAUCAUUGGGUUUAAAGGGUCCGUAGGCGGUUUAGUAAGUCAGUGGUGAAAGCCCAUCGCUCAACGGUGGAACGGCCAUUGAUACUGCUAGACUUGAAUUAUUAGGAAGUAACUAGAAUAUGUAGUGUAGCGGUGAAAUGCUUAGAGAUUACAUGGAAUACCAAUUGCGAAGGCAGGUUACUACUAAUGGAUUGACGCUGAUGGACGAAAGCGUGGGUAGCGAACAGGAUUAGAUACCCUGGUAGUCCACGCCGUAAACGAUGGAUACUAGCUGUUGGAAGCAAUUUCAGUGGCUAAGCGAAAGUGAUAAGUAUCCCACCUGGGGAGUACGUUCGCAAGAAUGAAACUCAAAGGAAUUGACGGGGGCCCGCACAAGCGGUGGAGCAUGUGGUUUAAUUCGAUGAUACGCGAGGAACCUUACCAAGGCUUAAAUGUAGAUUGACCGGUUUGGAAACAGACUUUUCGCAAGACAAUUUACAAGGUGCUGCAUGGUUGUCGUCAGCUCGUGCCGUGAGGUGUCAGGUUAAGUCCUAUAACGAGCGCAACCCCUGUUGUUAGUUGCCAGCGAGUCAUGUCGGGAACUCUAACAAGACUGCCAGUGUAAACUGUGAGGAAGGUGGGGAUGACGUCAAAUCAUCACGGCCCUUACGCCUUGGGCUACACACGUGCUACAAUGGCCGGUACAGAGAGCAGCCACUGGGCGACCAGGAGCGAAUCUACAAAACCGGUCACAGUUCGGAUCGGAGACAAAAG
RNAcentral lists this ribosomal RNA (1292 nucleotides) under metagenome. RNAcentral's name for it is "bacterial SSU rRNA". It matches the Rfam family "Bacterial small subunit ribosomal RNA", at positions 8 to 1310 of the family's 1533-position model. The record is from RNAcentral.